AGCAUAUCAAUAAGCGGAGGAAAAGAAACUAACAAGGAUUCCCCUAGUAACUGCGAGUGAAGCGGGAAAAGCUCAAAUUUAAAAUCUGGCGGUCUCUGGCCGUCCGAGUUGUAAUUUAGAGAAGCGUCUUCCGCGCCGGGCCGUGCACAAGUCUCCUGGAAUGGAGCGUCAUAGAGGGUGAGAAUCCCGUCUUUGGCACGGAUGCCUGUGCUUCUGUGAUGCGCUCUCGAAGAGUCGAGUUGUUUGGGAAUGCAGCUCAAAAUGGGUGGUGAACUCCAUCUAAAGCUAAAUAUUGGCGAGAGACCGAUAGCGAACAAGUACCGUGAGGGAAAGAUGAAAAGCACUUUGGAAAGAGAGUGAAACAGUACGUGAAAUUGUUGAAAGGGAAACGCUUGAAGUCAGUCGCGUCGACCGAGACUCAGCCUUGCCUUGGCUUGGUGUACUUCUCGGCCCGACGGGUCAGCGUCAAUUUUGCCCCUCGGAUAAUGGCAAGGGAAAGGUGGCACCUUCGCGGGUGUGUUAUAGUCUCCUGUCGCAUGCGAGGGGUGGGAUUGAGGAACUCAGCGCGCACCUUGGUGUCGGGGCUUCGGCCCACGUCACGCGCUUAGGAUGCUGGCGUAAUGGCUUUAAACGACCCGUCUUG
This 643-nucleotide ribosomal RNA is filed under the name uncultured fungus. Its description in RNAcentral is "eukaryotic LSU rRNA". It matches the Rfam family "Eukaryotic large subunit ribosomal RNA", at positions 37 to 656 of the family's 3401-position model. The record is from RNAcentral. Lineage: Eukaryota; Fungi.